Molecule: long non-coding RNA, 613 nt
Organism: Zingiber officinale
Lineage: Eukaryota; Viridiplantae; Streptophyta; Magnoliopsida; Zingiberales; Zingiberaceae
Exons: 4
Source: RefSeq, a predicted model, not a curated record
UUCCACUCUCUCUCCGUCAUUCUUCUCUGGCGAUCUAGGGUUCGCCUUUAGUGAUCUUCGCAAUGUUUCUAGGGUUCCUGCAGCGGGGCGGUGGCGGAGGCUUCUUCGUUCGGCACAGUAGAUGGAGCCGGAAGCCACGAAAGCGGUGACAGCGUGCGGGAGCAGGAUCUCUUCCAUCCCAUCGCCAGAAUCGUUGCUCCGUUCGAAAAUCGGAAGAGUGGCGAUUCCGGCGAGAUGAGAGCUCCAGCUUCCCGAUCGUUCUCCCAGAUGGGUUUCCUCGAAGAUUUCCAAGGCACGGUCAGCUCCCGGACCACCGCUCCAUCUAUUCCGUCAUUGAGAAGAUCAGCGAGGAGCACCUCACAUUGAGUGACCCAGACCGCAACUACCACUACCAUUGUAACUAGGUUCAUCAACAAAAUUCUCUUGCACAGAACAUGAAUUACAUAUCCUCUGCAGGCGUGGUUCAAUUUAUUGUUGUUGAUCCUGACCGAAUGCUGAAUCAACGGACGCUGGGCAAGUGACGCUCCCCGGCUGCUGACGUGGAUCUUCGACUGGUUGCGCGAACCUCCGGCGAACCUGCACAGAAGUCGGGCCGGGAAGGGGUUCCCGACGG